UGCCCAGCAACUCCUAUCCCUACCUCCUCGCGGUACUGGCCGGGGUACGAGUAACCUUAGGGAAGAUCGGGUAACCAACCCCCGGUGGUAACUUUGGUCGUAUGCUGACAGGGAAGG
This 117-nucleotide ribozyme is filed under the name Aedes aegypti (yellow fever mosquito). Its description in RNAcentral is "drz-agam-1 ribozyme". It matches the Rfam family "drz-agam-1 ribozyme". The record is from Rfam by way of RNAcentral. Lineage: Eukaryota; Metazoa; Arthropoda; Insecta; Diptera; Culicidae.